Molecule: ribosomal RNA, 367 nt
Filed under: uncultured organism
Description: partial 16S ribosomal RNA
Rfam family: Bacterial small subunit ribosomal RNA
Source: RNAcentral
GGAAGGUCCAGGCGUUAUCCGGAUUUAUUGGGUUUAAAGGGAGCGUAGGCGGAUUAUUAAGUCAGUGGUGAAAGACGGUGGCUCAACCAUCGUUAGCCAUUGAAACUGGUAGUCUUGAGUGCAGACAGGGAUGCUGGAGCUCGUGGUGUAGCGGUGAAAUGCUUAGAUAUCACGAUGAACUCCGAUCGCGAAGGCAGGUGUCCGGGCUGCAACUGACGCUGAGGCUCGAAAGUGUGGGGGUAUCAAACAGGAUUAGAUACCCUGGUAGUCCACACAGUAAACGAUGUAUACUCGCGGUUUGCGAUAGACAGUAAGCCGCCAAGCGAAAGCAUUAAGUAUACCACCUGGGAGUACGCCGGCAACGGUG